RNAcentral lists this ribosomal RNA (237 nucleotides) under uncultured bacterium. Its description in RNAcentral is "partial 16S ribosomal RNA". It matches the Rfam family "Bacterial small subunit ribosomal RNA", at positions 99 to 334 of the family's 1533-position model. The record is from RNAcentral.
CGAACGGGUGAGUAACGCGUGAGGAACCUGCCUCAAAGAGGGGGACAACAGUUGGAAACGACUGCUAAUACCGCAUAAGCCCACGGCUCGGCAUCGAGCAGAGGGAAAAGGAGCAAUCCGCUUUGGGAUGGCCUCGCGUCCGAUUAGCUAGUUGGUGAGGUAACGGCCCACCAAGGCGACGAUCGGUAGCCGGACUGGGAGGUUGAACGGCCACAUUGGGACUGAGACACGGCCCAG